Molecule: long non-coding RNA, 133 nt
Organism: Cebus imitator (Panamanian white-faced capuchin)
Lineage: Eukaryota; Metazoa; Chordata; Mammalia; Primates; Cebidae
Exons: 3
Source: RefSeq, a predicted model, not a curated record
UGUUUUAUCAAUUUGUGCUUUAAAUGCUUCCAGGAUUUCAGAUGUCAUUGGUUCCACUGGAUUCCCUGGCUUUCCAGGUGCCAAUGGAGAGAAAGGUGCACAGGGAGUAGCUGGCAAACCAGGCCCUCAGAGU